This 390-nucleotide ribosomal RNA is filed under the name uncultured bacterium. RNAcentral describes it as "bacterial SSU rRNA". It matches the Rfam family "Bacterial small subunit ribosomal RNA", at positions 32 to 405 of the family's 1533-position model. The record is from RNAcentral.
AAUCAACGCUGGCGGCGUGCCUCAGACAUGCAAGUCGAACGAGAACCUCCCUUCGGGGAGGGGAAGUGGCGCACGGGUGAGUAACACGUGGGUAAUUUACCUUCGGGUGGGGAAGUAACAGUCGGAAACGACUGCUAAUACCGCAUGAUGCAGCGGCACCACAUGGUGACAGUUGUUAAAGCGGGGGAUCGCAAGACCUCGCGCCUGAAGAGAAGCCCGCGGCAGAUAGCUAGUUGGUAAGGUAAUGGCUUACCAAGGCAACGAUCUGUAGCCGGCCUGAGAGGGCGGUCGGCCACACUGACACUGAAUAACGGGUCAGACUCCUACGGGAGGCAGCAGUCGGGAAUUUUGGGCAAUGGGCGAAAGCCUGACCCAGCAACGCCGCGUGAA